GCUCGGAGGUUAGCCCAGGGUCUCAAGACCCACAAGAGAAAGGAUACCUCAACUUCGGGGUCAGUGAAGAAAGCCAGGUCAAAGGGGACAAGCUCGGCCGCACCUGCUCCGACGCCCGUCGUCGUUGAGGUCCCCUCCAACGUCGAACUUGAAGUCCCCCGAACCCUUUCACAUAGCCCCCCGGUCGAGGGUCCCGUUUUGGAGGUUCGUCUGAGGGGGCGCCUGGGGCCA
This 231-nucleotide long non-coding RNA is filed under the name Elaeis guineensis (African oil palm). Its description in RNAcentral is "long non-coding RNA (EGUI_LNC047445)". The record is from RNAcentral. Lineage: Eukaryota; Viridiplantae; Streptophyta; Magnoliopsida; Arecales; Arecaceae.